CAGAGUUAACCCAACUCACCAAAACCAUGUGAACUUACCUAUGUUGCCUCGGCGGGGAAGCCUAGGCCUACCCGUCGGUGGACUAUUCGAACUCUUGAUUUUAUUUUGGCACUUCUGAAUUAUCAUAAAUUGGUUA
RNAcentral lists this unclassified non-coding RNA (136 nucleotides) under uncultured Ascomycota. RNAcentral's name for it is "sequence contains ITS1". Lineage: Eukaryota; Fungi; Ascomycota. The record is from RNAcentral.